GAAUAUGGUCUUUAGUUUGAGGGGGAGAAUGUGAGAUAUCAAACUAAGUCCCACAUUGGAAAAUUCUACAAGAAGUGUCUAAUAUAUAAAGUGCAUGAUGUCCAACUCUAAUUAGUACGAGGCAUUUUGGGAAGGAGCCCAAAAGUAAAUCCAUCCGGACCAGCCUCUUAGGCGUAAAGUGAACAAUAUCGUACUAAUCGGAUAUUAUAGAGUU
This 214-nucleotide long non-coding RNA is filed under the name Brassica napus (rape). RNAcentral describes it as "long non-coding RNA (BNAP_LNC023434)". The record is from RNAcentral. Lineage: Eukaryota; Viridiplantae; Streptophyta; Magnoliopsida; Brassicales; Brassicaceae.